RNAcentral lists this ribosomal RNA (468 nucleotides) under uncultured bacterium. Its description in RNAcentral is "partial 16S ribosomal RNA". It matches the Rfam family "Bacterial small subunit ribosomal RNA", at positions 28 to 507 of the family's 1533-position model. The record is from RNAcentral.
GACGAACGCUGGCGGCGUGCUUAACACAUGCAAGUCGAACGGAAAGGCCCUGCUUUUGUGGGGUGCUCGAGUGGCGAACGGGUGAGUAACACGUGAGUAACCUGCCCUUGACUUUGGGAUAACUCCAGGAAACUGGGGCUAAUACCGGAUAGGAGCUCCUGCUGCAUGGUGGGGGUUGGAAAGUUUCGGCGGUUGGGGAUGGACUCGCGGCUUAUCCGCUUGUUGGUGGGGUAGUGGCUUACCAAGGCUUUGACGGGUAGCCGGCCUGAGAGGGUGACCGGCCACAUUGGGACUGAGAUACGGCCCAGACUCCUACGGGAGGCAGCAGUGGGGAAUAUUGCACAAUGGGCGGAAGCCUGAUGCAGCAACGCCGCGUGCGGGAUGACGGCCUUCGGGUUGUAAACCGCUUUCGCCUGUGACGAAGCGUGAGUGACGGUAAUGGGUAAAGAAGCACCGGCUAACUACGUG